RNAcentral lists this ribosomal RNA (1465 nucleotides) under Prochlorococcus marinus subsp. pastoris str. CCMP1986. RNAcentral's name for it is "bacterial SSU rRNA". It matches the Rfam family "Bacterial small subunit ribosomal RNA". The record is from RNAcentral. Lineage: Bacteria; Bacillati; Cyanobacteriota; Cyanophyceae; Synechococcales; Prochlorococcaceae. RNAcentral also lists the same sequence under 1 other name.
GGCUCAGGAUGAACGCUGGCGGCGUGCUUAACACAUGCAAGUCGAACGAACCUUCGGGUUAGUGGCGGACGGGUGAGUAACGCGUGAGAAUCUGCCCUCAGGAGGGGGAUAACGGUUGGAAACGACCGCUAAUACCCCAUAUGCCGAUAGGUGAAAUGAAUUUCGCCUGAGGAUGAGCUCGCGUCUGAUUAGCUUGUUGGUGAGGUAAUGGCUCACCAAGGCUUCGAUCAGUAGCUGGUCUGAGAGGAUGAUCAGCCACACUGGGACUGAGACACGGCCCAGACUCCUACGGGAGGCAGCAGUGGGGAAUUUUCCGCAAUGGGCGAAAGCCUGACGGAGCAACGCCGCGUGAGGGACGAAGGCCUCUGGGCUGUAAACCUCUUUUCUCAAGGAAGAAGAUAUGACGGUACUUGAGGAAUAAGCCACGGCUAAUUCCGUGCCAGCAGCCGCGGUAAUACGGGAGUGGCAAGCGUUAUCCGGAAUUAUUGGGCGUAAAGCGUCCGCAGGCGGCCUUUCAAGUCUGCUGUUAAAGCGUGGAGCUUAACUCCAUUAUGGCAGUGGAAACUGAUCGGCUUGAGUAUGGUAGGGGCAGAGGGAAUUCCCGGUGUAGCGGUGAAAUGCGUAGAUAUCGGGAAGAACACCAGUGGCGAAGGCGCUCUGCUGGGCCAUUACUGACGCUCAUGGACGAAAGCCAGGGGAGCGAAAGGGAUUAGAUACCCCUGUAGUCCUGGCCGUAAACGAUGAACACUAGGUGUCGGGGGAAUCGACCCCUUCGGUGUCGUAGCUAACGCGUUAAGUGUUCCGCCUGGGGAGUACGCACGCAAGUGUGAAACUCAAAGGAAUUGACGGGGGCCCGCACAAGCGGUGGAGUAUGUGGUUUAAUUCGAUGCAACGCGAAGAACCUUACCAGGGUUUGACAUCCUGAGAACCUCUUAGAAAUUAGAGGGUGCCUUCGGGAAUUCAGUGACAGGUGGUGCAUGGCUGUCGUCAGCUCGUGUCGUGAGAUGUUGGGUUAAGUCCCGCAACGAGCGCAACCCACGUUUUUAGUUGCCAGCAUUUAGUUGGGCACUCUAGAAAGACCGCCGGUGAUAAACCGGAGGAAGGUGUGGAUGACGUCAAGUCAUCAUGCCCCUUACACCCUGGGCUACACACGUACUACAAUGCUACGGACAAAGGGCAGCAAACUCGCGAGAGCUAGCAAAUCCCAUAAACCGUGGCUCAGUUCAGAUCGUAGGCUGCAACUCGCCUACGUGAAGUAGGAAUCGCUAGUAAUCGCAGGUCAGCAUACUGCGGUGAAUACGUUCCCGGGCCUUGUACACACCGCCCGUCACACCAUGGAAGUUGGCCAUGCCCGAAGUCGUUACUCCAACCCUUGUGGAGGAGGACGCCGAAGGUGGGGCUAAUGACUGGGGUGAAGUCGUAACAAGGUAGCCGUACCGGAAGGUGCGGCUGGAUCACCUCCUAA